GAUGAAGAACGUAGCGAAAUGCGAUACGUAAUGUGAAUUGCAGAAUUCAGUGAAUCAUCGAGUCUUUGAACGCACAUUGCGCCCUCUGGUAUUCCGGGGGGCAUGCCUGUCCGAGCGUCAUUGCUGCCCUCAAGCACGGCUUGUGUGUUGGGCCCCCCCGUCCCGGUUCUCCAGCCGGGACGGGCCCGAAAGGCAGCGGCGGCACCGUGUCCGGUCCUCGAGUGUAUGGGGCUCUGUCACCCACUCGUGUAGGCCCGGCCGGCGGCCAGCCUCUUUCAACCAAAACUUCUUUAACCAGGUUGACCUCGGAUCAGGUAGGGAUACCCGCUGAACUUAAGCAUAUCAAUAAGCGGGAGGA
RNAcentral lists this unclassified non-coding RNA (358 nucleotides) under soil metagenome. Its description in RNAcentral is "partial contains 5.8S ribosomal RNA, internal transcribed spacer 2, and large subunit ribosomal RNA". The stretch from base 1 to 120 matches the Rfam family "5.8S ribosomal RNA", at positions 35 to 154 of the family's 154-position model. The record is from RNAcentral.